CUAGAAAUCCUAGUAUGAAACUAUGACUAGAAAUUCAUUAUAUUGAUAUAUAUUUUGUCGACAAGGAAGAGAUUUCAUCAAGUGUUAAGAAUCACUUGCCAUUUAAGUGGCCAAUUCUCCAUACAUGGACGACGCCUUUGCUAGAUCUAUUCCGGAGUUAUGUUUGAUUGAUGUGCAUGUAAAUCUGAAAGAUUUGAUCAUAUAGACUCUUAAAGAGGCUUUUGAGGUCUUUUGCAACAAAGGUGUUGCUGGAAACUCUAGUGCAGAACUUCUUGCCACUUUUUGUGAUAACAUUCUCAACAAAGGAUGCUUUCAUUAUUUUAUGGACUUUGGCAGUACAUGUUCAACAAGUUAGAGCUUCAUGUACUCAUUUUAGGGAUUGACAAGGCUGGCAAAACGACUUUGCUUGAGAAGAUGAAGUCGGUGUACACGAAUGUAGAAGGUCUUCCUCCGGAACGAAUUGUGGAAAGCAAUUGCUUCUCCAGGGCGUGGUAUUUUGGCCAUGGAUGAAUCCAAUGCUACAUGUGGAAAGCGGUUGGAUUCAAUUGGACUAGAGAACACCGAAGUUAACCGUCAAGCAUGGCGUAAAAUUAUAUAUGAAGAAAGUGUUAUG
Vicia villosa (hairy vetch) is the source of this 613-nucleotide long non-coding RNA. RefSeq lists it as uncharacterized. The record is from RefSeq and is a predicted model, not a curated record. NCBI's taxonomy places the organism in Eukaryota, Viridiplantae, Streptophyta, Magnoliopsida, Fabales, Fabaceae. The transcript has 3 exons.